CACCCAAGUCUCUCCCAGCAUCCACACCUCUCCUUUCCGCUCCUCCACCAUCCGCCUUCUCUCUCUACCUUUCACGGCUAAGCUGCUGCCAAAAGACCUCGACUCCUCGUCAGCCAUCCAGUCAUCGCCUCGUCUCUCACCGGCUCCUCGAAAGACUCCCCAAAUCUCGUCGCCGUCCCGUCCUAGCAAGAGGCCAGGGCACGCCCUUCGGUUCCUUCGCCUUCCUAAACUCUCUGUGGUGUCUGAGGAAUGCUGCCCACGCCUUCAGUCUCUGCAAGUUCUCUCCACCCUCUUUCUCUGGGGGAUGGCCCCCUCCCCAGGUGCCCUUCCUAACCUCAGACCCCUCUGUCUCCCUUUCCUCUGCGGCUUCUCCUCCCGACCACUUCUCCAAGGGUUCUGUUCUCGAAGGCAAGGCACGGUCUUCAGGGAACAGGAACCCCUCGGGUCUCAGAGCAAGCUCAUGCGCUCUCCUACGAUUCGACUCGCCCCCCGGAUGCCCAGGGCUUCUGAGUGCGUACGACUGACGUCACCCUGCCCCUGACUCCACGCUGCUUUCUCUAACUGUCUGCUGGACGCACCUCUCGGGAUGUCCAAAGGCUUCUCAAAACCGACACGUCCAAAAGGGAGCCCGAACAACAGGAAGACGGCAGAUCAGAGAGCAGCUUGAUGGCAGCCCCCCCGGACCCCGCCCGAGCGGACAUCGUGCAGAGGCUUGGACCAGCCGAAAUGACGGAUCGCCCACUUUCCGCGUCACGGACAGAGAUCCUCGGCGUGCAACGCGUCGAACCCCACUGACCUCGCACUUGUGGACCCACGAAGAAAUACGAGUGACAGUCGCACCUGAGCAGAGGACUCUUCAAGCUUCACCCCCAGCGCUCUCCUGGUCCCACCCCUACCCCAACCCCAGAUAAACGCCCCCAAUGUUUGAUUUUCCCUUUUGAGAAGCGAGGUUGAGUUUGACGCCCACCUCCUUGUCUGGCCGCCUCUUGAUCAUAAACCUCUUUCCUUGCUGCAACCCUGACUUCUCACUGAUUGGCUUGGCUGCGAAAUCGGGUACCCGGACCUGAGUUUGUGUGUGGUCCCAUCGCUUCCCUGCUUGAAGGAAUCCAGGGUUCUCCACUGCCUGCAGGCCAAACUGGAGCAGAAUCUCAAGGCCUCGCCCCUGCAGCCUUCCUCCCUGCUCCUCACCCACACGCGGGCCACCCUCCGCCACGUGCGACUCUCUGCAGACCCCAAACAGGUUCUGACUCAAAGGACUUCAAGCUCAUCGAGCGAGCCUAAUCCUAGCAGGCGCCCGCCGGAAGAGCACGGCAGCAGGACCAAAGCAACACGGAGAAGCAGCUGCUGCCAAAGCCAAAGGGAGGAAGAGGAUCCGGAGAACCCUUUUUCCUUUCACUGGCGCCGGCGCCUGCAUCCUGCUCCCGAUUCCAAAUUUCACGCGGUCAACAACUGGCACCGCUCCUUCCUCCUCGCCCUGGGCUGGAGGCAGCACCGCCUCCCGCUUCCCUGAAGGCCCAAGGGAAACGCACGCACCGAGGGGAUCCCACCGGCUGGAAGCCCCUUUACAGAUUUCCGCUGUCUGCACUUGGACCUCAAGGGUCUGCGCGGCGCGCCCUGCCCCACGACCCCCCGUCACUCCUUAAUCCCCCCCCCCGCCCCGCUGGAGCCCAAGGCUGAGAAUCCGGUCC
Long non-coding RNA from Equus caballus (horse), 1688 nucleotides. NCBI's taxonomy places the organism in Eukaryota, Metazoa, Chordata, Mammalia, Perissodactyla, Equidae. The record is from Ensembl.